This is a small nuclear RNA of Suncus etruscus (white-toothed pygmy shrew), 161 nucleotides long. RefSeq annotates it as U1 spliceosomal RNA. The transcript has a single exon. Lineage: Eukaryota; Metazoa; Chordata; Mammalia; Eulipotyphla; Soricidae. The record is from RefSeq and is a predicted model, not a curated record.
UUAGAUCUGGCAGGGAGAUACCAUGAUCUGGAAGGUGGUUUUCCCAAGGCAAGGCUCAUCCAUUGCACUCCAGAUUUGCUGACCCCUGUGAUUUACCCAAAUAUGGAAAAUUUGACUGCAUAAUUUAUGGUAGCGGAGGACUACGUUCACACUCUCCCCUG